Molecule: long non-coding RNA, 955 nt
Filed under: Vigna radiata
Lineage: Eukaryota; Viridiplantae; Streptophyta; Magnoliopsida; Fabales; Fabaceae
Description: long non-coding RNA (VRAD_LNC016262)
Source: RNAcentral
UGGACCCCACCCUAAUUUUAGGACACAUGGCCUAGCUAGAAAAAGGUGCAGCCGUCACUUGCUUCAGGUUGGGAAGGCUUGGAACGUUUUUUCGGAUAGUUUUUCUUUGAACCAUGAUGAUAAUCUUGGAUUUUGGUUGAAGAGAAAACGCCAUCUCCAUUUUUGCACUAACUAAUGGAGAGCUUCUAGGCUUAACCAUUUUUCCUUCACGCUGUCAAAGUUCGCUGAUCAUUUUUCAAUUAGUUUUCANGCACUGUUGGAUUGAAGCCUGGUUCACGUUUUUAAUUUAGUUUAAUUGGAGAAUGAUGCACUGAAGCAANGUUGGUGUGGAGUCACGGCCUNNGAGUGCAUUGAUUUUAUUUCUNUUUGCNUUUGAUAAGAAGUAGGCGNUACUCAUUUAUUGGAUAAAGUUCAGCUGCUUCAAUGGUAAUUAAUUUGGUGGUGCAUCACGUCCAUGAAAAGGGGCUGCGUUCAUUCUCUUUUGAAAACCUACACNGUCAUUUCAUUCAGUUUUUCUUUUGAGAAUUAUUUUUCAAUUUCCUUNGAAAUAGCAAGCUAGGCAAUGUUUCUUUAAUUUAGUUUUAAUGUGUGGUGAGUAGUCCAUUUCCUUUUUAAUUGGCAUGUUGUUUCUGCUCCAAAGGUAUAAUAGCAUUUCUUUAGCUUUUAUUUAGUAAGAAGUGGAUUAGAUGGAAGUAGGUGGUGAUGGGACGUUAGAUACUUGUAGGUGUAGUUUCUUUUUUUUUUUGUUUUUUUUUGUUUUUUUUUCUUUCUUUUCUUUUAUUGAAAAAUGAAGAGUUGAAUAAAUAUUGAUAGGUGAGAUGUGGCAAGUGAUUUUACGUUGAUGGUUUUAUUUUUUUUAUUUUUUUUUCUUUAUUUNAUUUUCUUUUAUUUUAAAUUAGUUUAGGUUUUAGAUAAACUUUAUGUUUUUUUAUUUUCUUUUAUUUUAAAUUAGNNN